Molecule: ribosomal RNA, 496 nt
Filed under: uncultured bacterium
Lineage: Bacteria
Description: partial 16S ribosomal RNA
Rfam family: Bacterial small subunit ribosomal RNA
Source: RNAcentral
GAUGAACGCUGGCGGCGUGCCUAAUACAUGCAAGUAGAACGCUGAAGGAGGAGCUUGCUCUUUCCGGAUGAGUUGCGAACGGGUGAGUAACGCGUAGGUAACCUGCCUGGUAGCGGGGGAUAACUAUUGGAAACGAUAGCUAAUACCGCAUAACAGUAGAUAUUGCAUGAUAUUUGCUUGAAAGGGGCAAUUGCUCCACUACCAGAUGGACCUGCGUUGUAUUAGCUAGUUGGUGAGGUAACGGCUCACCAAGGCGACGAUACAUAGCCGACCUGAGAGGGUGAUCGGCCACACUGGGACUGAGACACGGCCCAGACUCCUACGGGAGGCAGCAGUAGGGAAUCUUCGGCAAUGGACGGAAGUCUGACCGAGCAACGCCGCGGGAGGGAAGAAGGGUGUCGGAUCGUAAAGCUCUGUUGUAAGAGAAGAACGAGUGUGAGAGUGGAAAGUUCACACUGUGACGGUAUCUUACCAGAAAGGGACGGCUAACUACGUG